This 697-nucleotide ribosomal RNA is filed under the name uncultured Bacteroidales bacterium. RNAcentral describes it as "bacterial SSU rRNA". It matches the Rfam family "Bacterial small subunit ribosomal RNA", at positions 48 to 733 of the family's 1533-position model. Lineage: Bacteria; Pseudomonadati; Bacteroidota; Bacteroidia; Bacteroidales. The record is from RNAcentral.
UUAACACAUGCAAGUCGAGGAGGCAGCAUGGUCUUAGCUUGCUAAGGCCGAUGGCGACCGGCGCACGGGUGAGUAACACGUAUCCAACCUGCCGUCUACUCUUGGACAGCCUUCUGAAAGGAAGAUUAAUACAAGAUGGCAUCAUGAGUCCGCAUGUUCACAUGAUUAAAGGUAUUCCGGUAGACGAUGGGGAUGCGUUCCAUUAGAUAGUAGGCGGGGUAACGGCCCACCUAGUCUUCGAUGGAUAGGGGUUCUGAGAGGAAGGUCCCCCACAUUGGAACUGAGACACGGUCCAAACUCCUACGGGAGGCAGCAGUGAGGAAUAUUGGUCAAUGGGCGCAGGCCUGAACCAGCCAAGUAGCGUGAAGGAUGACUGCCCUAUGGGUUGUAAACUUCUUUUAUAAAGGAAUAAAGUCGGGUAUGUAUACCCGUUUGCAUGUACUUUAUGAAUAAGGAUCGGCUAACUCCGUGCCAGCAGCCGCGGUAAUACGGAGGAUCCGAGCGUUAUCCGGAUUUAUUGGGUUUAAAGGGAGCGUAGAUGGAUGUUUAAGUCAGUUGUGAAAGUUUGCGGCUCAACCGUAAAAUUGCAGUUGAUACUGGAUAUCUUGAGUGCAGUUGAGGCAGGCGGAAUUCGUGGUGUAGCGGUGAAAUGCUUAGAUAUCACGAAGAACUCCGAUUGCGAAGGCAGCCUGCUAAG